UACAGAGGGUGCAAACGUUGUUCGGAUUUACUGGGCGUAAAGCGCGUGUAGGCGGCUUGGCAAGUCGGAUGUGAAAGCCCACGGCUCAACCGUGGAAGCGCACCCGAAACGGCCUCGCUCGAGUCUCGGAGAGGAAGGUGGAAUGCUUGGUGUAGAGGUGAAAUUCGUAGAUAUCAAGCAGAACACCUGCGGCGAAGGCGGCCUUCUGGACGAUGACUGACGCUGAGACGCGAAAGCGUGGGGAGCAAACAGG
This 253-nucleotide ribosomal RNA is filed under the name uncultured bacterium. RNAcentral describes it as "partial 16S ribosomal RNA". It matches the Rfam family "Bacterial small subunit ribosomal RNA", at positions 524 to 776 of the family's 1533-position model. The record is from RNAcentral.